CACGUAGGGGGCGAGCGUUGUCCGGAUUUAUUGGGCGUAAAGAGCUCGUAGGCGGUUCACUAAGUCGGGUGUGAAACCUCCAGCUCAACCUGGAGACGCCACCUGAUACUGGUGUGACUAGAGUCCGGUAGGGGGAGUGUGGAACUCCUGGUGUAGCGGUGAAAUGCGCAGAUAUCAGGAAGAACACCAGCGGCGAAGGCGGCACUCUGGGGCCGGUACUGACGCUGAGGGAGCGAAAAGCGUGGGGUAGCAAAACAGG
Molecule: ribosomal RNA, 259 nt
Filed under: uncultured bacterium
Lineage: Bacteria
Description: partial 16S ribosomal RNA
Rfam family: Bacterial small subunit ribosomal RNA
Source: RNAcentral